Molecule: long non-coding RNA, 413 nt
Filed under: Mytilus galloprovincialis (Mediterranean mussel)
Lineage: Eukaryota; Metazoa; Mollusca; Bivalvia; Mytilida; Mytilidae
Source: RNAcentral
GUUGGGGCAAGUAUGGACACAACAUUCAAGCUGGAUUCAGCUCUAAAUUUGGAUUGUGAUUAAAUAGUUGACACAGCAUAGGUUUCUGACACAGAAUGAAUGUGGUCUAAUGAACUUAAAAAUUUUUUUUUGCCUUUGAGCAAUUCACUAUGCUGUUGAAUAUUAAUCCUCUCAAAAAAAUGUUUGAAGAAAUUUUCUUUUUAUUUAUGAAAUCUGAAAUGAAAAAAUUGACCCCCCCAAUUUUUUUUUUCACAUCCCCCUUUCCCUUAUUUCCAAAACUGAUCUCAAUUCAAAUUUCUAAUGGAGUUUGCAACAAUAACUACUCAUUUAAAUACAUCAUAAAAUAUUAAAAUGUAAAAAAAGUGCUUGUUAUCACUGAAUGGUAAAGAUUGUUUUAAAUUUAUCAGUUGGUA